GACUCUCCGAUCCCAUCUCGUCCGUCCCGGAGCAUCGACGGAAAGGAAAAUCCUCGCCAUCCCGAAGGACGGAAAAGUGGAACUGAACUGUCAAUUAUUGAUGUAAGCAUCAAUGUUACCAAAUACAGUGCCGGCCCGAGGCAAGUUUUAGGAUGGAGCGAGAUCCUAUUAUGGCGCCCCCCUUGGUUGCCCCUAAUUUUAUACCCUUUAAUUUUCUUUACCACUGAGGCGCCCCCUAGGACUUAGCGCCCGGAGCGACUGCUCCGUUUGCCCUAUGGUAGGGCCGGCUCUGACCAAAUAAACGGCUUUUUCUUUUGUCAUCAAUUGCCUCCUCCGCCACACCACACACAACCUUCUCUUAGGUUCAUCCUGAUGCGGGAUUAACAAGUCCCCUAUUCCACCGGAUCGGCGACCUUACAUAGAAGCCAAGGAAUUGCAAGUAGGAUUUUUUAAUGUGUGUGUUUGUACGAAUACAUAGGAAUGGGUACGGAUCAAAGUCCGCUAGGCGUGCUGAAGUCGCUGUCUGAAUACCCGGCCGACAUAAACCAGCAACCCGGAUAUGUUGGAUGACGUUUCGGUAGAACCACGUGGGUGCUUUGCCGAGAGUAUUCACCGGGAUGAGGUAGUUCAGCCCAUAGUCUGCAAGUUCCAAGACAAAAGACAAUGUGUUAUAUUUUAUUACCGCUUCAUUAUUAUUGCUACAAAGUGUAAGAAGUAUUUAAGAAGUGGUUUAAGGGAUGUGCAGAGUAGAAUAAGGAAAGGCAAAAGAGGGUAAG
This is a long non-coding RNA of Centruroides sculpturatus (bark scorpion), 776 nucleotides long. RefSeq lists it as uncharacterized. NCBI's taxonomy places the organism in Eukaryota, Metazoa, Arthropoda, Arachnida, Scorpiones, Buthidae. The transcript is spliced from 3 exons. The record is from RefSeq and is a predicted model, not a curated record.